CCAGUUUUGACCUCCAGAGAACUUUCUAGAAAUGGUUUGGUUCCUUUGGGGACUUUUGAAACCGGUUCGGCUCGGUCUUUGUCCGCUUGUGGUGGGAAAAUGUGGGGUAAGUCCCGGAAGGAGGGGAACCCUUAUCCUUUUUUGCCCCUCCUUCGGUUGGGAACUCAAAGGAGACUGCCCGGUGAUAAGCCGGAGGAAGGUGGGGAGGACGUCAAGUCAUCAUGGCCCUUACGGGUAGGGCUACACACGUGCUACAAUGGCAGGUACAGAGGGCAGCGAAGCGGCGACGUGGAGCUAAUCCCAGAAAGCCUGCCUCAGUCCGGAUUGGAGUCUGCAACUCGACUCCAUGAAGUCGGAAUCGCUAGUAAUCG
RNAcentral lists this ribosomal RNA (371 nucleotides) under uncultured soil bacterium. RNAcentral's name for it is "bacterial SSU rRNA". It matches the Rfam family "Bacterial small subunit ribosomal RNA", at positions 975 to 1344 of the family's 1533-position model. The record is from RNAcentral.